CCUACGUGAGGCAGCAGUGGGGGAUAUUGCACAAUGGGGGAAACCCUGAUGCAGCGACGCCGCGUGGGCGAAGAAGUAUUUCGGUAUGUAAAGCUCUAUUAGCAGGGAAGAAGAAAUGACGGUACCUGAGUAAGAAGAACAGGCUAAAUACGUGCCAGCAGCCGCGGUAAUACGGAUGGUGCAAGCGUUAGCCGGAUUUACUGGGUUUAAAGGGAGCGCAGGCGGCACGGCAAGCCUGAUGUGAAAGCCCGCGGCCCAACCGCGGGACUGCAUUGGGAACUACCGGGCUGGAGUGACGGAGAGGUAGGCGGAAUGUGUGGUGUAGCGGUGAAAUGCGUAGAUAUUAGGAGGAACACCAGUGGCGAAGGCGGCCUACUGGACGGUGACUGACGCUGAGGCACGAAAGCGUGGGGAGCAAACAGGAUUAGAUACCCUAGUAGUC
Molecule: ribosomal RNA, 442 nt
Filed under: uncultured bacterium
Lineage: Bacteria
Description: partial 16S ribosomal RNA
Rfam family: Bacterial small subunit ribosomal RNA
Source: RNAcentral